GCUAGGCAACUCCAGAGUAGCAACCACCAGCCCUCAACAGGCUGGAACCCGGUUGGUUGCCCACGGCCUGGCAUUCCUGAGAAGAGGGUCAGGCAGCUACCCUGGCCCCCAGAACGAGCCGGACAAGGGCACUGCUUCUAACUGUACGCUGAUCGGCGGUGGAGGGCAACGCUACACAUCCGUCUCCACAGUGCCAGCCACUGCUCUCCUGGACGCCUAUGCCAAAGAAAUGGAAACCUGUAAUCACAGGAAACCUGCGCGCCAGUGUUCAUGCAUGUUAUUGGUAGAUGCCUAAAACCGGGAACACGCAGCACACUUUUCAGUGGGUGAGUGCUUGAGCGAACACUGGUUGACCCGCCACAAGGACGAUCGCCAGCCAUGCAGAGGAAGAACGUGGAUACAUGCGACAGCUUGGAGGGACCUCAAGGGCAUCAUGUGCUCUGUACCCAGCCAGAGUCCCUGCUUCCUGGAACCUGGGAUCUAUGACCUCUCCCCAGGAGAAGCCACCACGGAGUAUACAGGCUCCAAGAGAUUGUGGGGUCUCUAUCAGGUGGCCCGGAUCCAGUCAAGACUUCCCCCACCAUCCUGAGAAUGCCUGGCCCUCCAGAUGGCGAGGGACAGUGAGUGUAUUGGGUCCCCAGGGGCCUGAUGAGGGAAAAGGAGGGCGGUGACCCCAUUGGGAUGGCAAAAGGCAAGAUCACUCUGAUUCUGCCCUAGCCUGAGAGUGCCCUUGCUCCAAGCUCAUGGGACCUUCCAUUCUCCCCAGAAUGGACCCACCACACGCACUCCCAUACACUCUCCUUGCUGGGCCCACUGUGUUCCAGGCCCUCCUGAGUGUAUCUGGAUGGGUUUCUGCAAAGCAUAGACUACAUGCAUGUGUGCACACACGCACGCGCGCACACACACACACACACACACACACACAUGCAGGAGCCCAGUAUCCAGGGAGAGGUGGACAAAGUUGAGGCCAGUUGCUUGGGAGUGUGCACGCUUCUGAAGGUGAGGACUGCAGGAAGUAACAAUCUUCCCUGUGGCAAUUGACAGUGGUGGACUUGGGCGGGGAAACCUGCUAAUGCAUGCCUGUUCUCCAGGACAGCUGCAGUUGCAGCCAUCAACUGUGCCCCCCUACCACAAGCCUAGGGAGGUUAAGGUGAGCCCUGCAGAGAGGGCUGGUAGGUGUCACGCUGGAGGGUGCAGGAGCAUGAGACCGCCUGGAUGGCUUGUUUAAACCAGGGUCGGGGGCCCGCCCCAGGUCACUGAUCUUGCAGAUCUGAGGUGGGGCCUGAGAACAGGGGACUCUCACAAUCUCCUGUGGUGCCGAUGAUUCUGGCCCAAGGACCCCUUCUUGGGGAAGCCCCUCUUUAAAGACCUGGAGCUCUCCUAGGGGUGUGUCCCCUGCCCUGCUUGGGGCUGGCUCCCUCGCAGGGUCCCCGCAGCUGUGAGGAAUGCUGGGAGGGUGCUAGCCCUGGAGAGAGCAGGGGCUUCCUGUUUAGCAGUAGUGACCCAGCCCCGCCCAGGCCCUCGGGAGGGCCCUGUCCACAACCCAGCCUGGGAAAGGUGUUGGGUUCUGUGCAGGUGCUCAGCAGUUCCCAGGCUGCAUCUGGUAACAUCUGGGCAUGUGGGGGAGAGAGGGGCAGAGGUCAGAGUUGUGCCUGGCCCUGGGGACGGAGAGAACUCUCCAAUGAGGCAGAGGAAAGACCCAAACCGAGUUCGGGGAUGGGAAAGGGCCCAGAACAUGGGCCCCGAGGGCAGGAGCAUAGGCUUGGGGGCCAGAAAGCCGUUUUCUGCCUGGGACGACCCUGACAACGGUCAGGUCUGUGGGCACAGCCCACCCUCUAGCUGGUGUGAGGCCUCUACCCUUCCCGCCUAACAUCCCUCACCAAGAGGGUCUCCCAGCUCCUGGGUGUCACUGCCCAGCAACACCACCCACCUUCCUUGGCCAGUCUUUGUAGCGGUCAGUGGUCGGCCUGUGCUCAGCUCCACGGUGGCCUGUUGUCCAGUUGGAGCAGCAGGUGAAGUUCAUCGCCAGUCACUGGCCACCACCGGUUGUCCCUGGGAUCCCAGCACCUGAGCCUAUUCUGGCUCUGGGGACAGACGGUGGAGUAACCUUUGGCUUUCGUUUGCCACCUUUCCCCUCCCUGACCCGUUUUCCUUUGGGGUCACCAGGCUGUUCCCUGUGCACGGGUUCCAGCCCUCGCUACCUUGAUGAUGGAGCCCUGAGUCACAUCUUGUCAAUAUUUUUUCCCCACUUUGUCCCUUGUCCCUGGACUUUGUGGUUUGGGGUUUGCGUUUGGUCAGGCAGAUGAAUUUGGUUUCCGUGUCAUCAGACCUUCCAGGCUUUUCCUAAUGGCUUCUGGGGUUUCUUGUCAGUUUGCUUCAGACCUAGAGCGUUCUGCUGUUUAAAAGAUGUUAUUUAUUUAUUUUUUAGACAGAGGGGAAGGGAGGGAGAAAAGAGGGAGGCAAACAUCAAUGUGUGGUUGCCUCUUGCGUGCCCCCACCAGGGACGUGGCCCACACAACUCUGCAGGCAUGUGCCCUGACUGGGAAUCAAACCUGUGACCCUUUGCUUCGCAGGCCGGCGCUCAAUCCACUGAGCCACACCAGCCAGGCCUAGAGCCUUCUUCUUUUCUUUCUUUCUUUCUUUCUUUCUUUCCUUACUUACUUAUGAAACCCUCACCUGAAGAUAUGUUUAUUGAUUUUUUAAAAGAUUUUAUUUCUUUUACUUUUAAAGAGAGGAGAGGUGAGGGAGAAAGAGAGGGGGAGAAACAUCGAUGUGAGAGAGCUACAUCAAUCAGUUGCCUCUCGCAUGACCCAACUGGGGACGUGGCCUGCAACCCAGGCAUGUGUUUUGACUGGGAAUCGAACUGGCAACCUUUCAGUUCUCAGGCUGACACUGAAUCCGCUGAGCUACACCAGCCAGGGCUGUUUGUUAGAGAGACAGAGAGAGAGGGAAUUAGAGAGCGAGAGAGAAACUUUGAUUGCUGUUCCAGACAUGCAGGCACCCACUGGGUGAAACCCGCAUGUGCUACUACUGGGGACUGAACCCGCAACCUUGGUGAGUCGGCACGACGCUCCAACCGACUGCGCCUCCUGGCCAGGGCCCGUUCUCCACUUAACUUGUGUGUUCGUUCCCUGUUGCUGCAUAACAACCUGCCCCGAACGUAGAGCCCUGGUGUGACUGACACUUGGGACCUCCCAGGGCAGCUCCAGGGCUUGGCUCGGAGUUCUGGCUCGGGAUCUUGCACAGGCUGCAGUCCAGGCAUCAGCUGGGCUGCAGCCCUCUGGCCUACCUAGUGGGGGAGCUCUGCCUCCAAGUUCACUCACGUGGACGUGGCAGGGGGCUCAGUGCCCCCGCCCCACGGGCCUGUCUGCAGGGUGCUCAGGGCAGGGCUCUCCCAGAGCCAGGGGAGAGGGUGAGCAGCCCCCAAAUGGAAGCCAGGCCCUGUAGGACUUUAUCUCUCAGCAACAUUUCCUCACCUCUGCCCUGUGUCUAGGGGACACACAGGAGAACCCUGAACUAUGCUGGGGGAACGACGACACCCGCUAGGGUGAGGGGUGUUCCGUUCACGGCAAAUGACAAGGCUCCCAGGAGUGUCCCCGCUGCUGCAUCUGGGUGUCCAGGAGCGAGGACUCCUGGUGCCACACAGAACAGGCCCCUCAGGAACAGGUCCCUUGUCACUGUGGGGUGGCGAGGUCUAGCCCCGGCAGCAAGACAGGCAGGACCAGUGUUUGUCAGGGCAGAGUGGCUCUUUGCCUUUAAAGCGCUGUAACCAAAUCCCACAAGAAGCCAGAGGAGAGAAGGAUGUGCGUCAGAGCCCCCAUGUGCCCACGGCGUGUACUCUCUGCCCUUUGCAGAGGAGUCUGCAGCCCUGGUGGCAGCCCCAGGCCCAGGGGCAGGAAGCUCUUUCUCUUCAAAGCAGCUCUUGCCAGCGCCCUGUCAGUCCCCACCCAGCAGCUCAGUCUUGCCCUGACACCUUUUUCCCCAGGGACUCGGGCAGCUGCCCUGCCUGAGGCAGGGCUGACCUCUCCCUGCACACAGGCACCUCCUCUCCCCUGCCCUCCCCUCCAGCCUUCCACCCUGCAGCCUGGAAGUGUGGGGGCAGGAAACAGUGAGGUGCAGCCACAUUAUGGAGCUGCAAGCUGCCUAGCCCCUUUUCUGCAAUGGGGGUAUCAGGUAGCCCUGGGCUCGGUCCUGGCAGCUGGGUGUGGUGGUGGCAGGCGCCAGCCUGGCAGUGGGGGCAGCCGAGUGUCCCCUUGUUCAGGAAGGAGCUCCCACUGUGGCUGAAGGAGGCCCUUUGCAUGUCGUUGCCCUGGAAACACACCUGCCCUUCCCUGCCUGGGGCUCAGAGGUGACUUCCCCGAUGACGCGCUUGGUGGCUCUGAAUUUGCCACACAGUUUCUGUGGGCAGUGAGGGUUUUCUUGUUGGCUCUUGCUGCUGGGCAACACAGGCCCUUGGCAACAGCUCCUGGCACCGUCCGGGGCUGCUGUGUGUUUCUUGAACCCAAACACAGCGAGUUUCAGGGGAGCGGAAGCAGAGAACAAGGUGAUGCUCUCUGGCCUUGCCUCAGGGAUGCUGGUCCUGACUCCUGGGGACAAUAGCCAGGCUGUUGCGACACAAGGUCCUGGGGGUCCCGUAGAGAUGCUGAGGCCUGCGUGGCCCCACGCCACAGGGCUGGGCCAUCUGACUACUGACCGCACCGUCCCGCAGCCCAUGCCUGAGCUGAGCCCCACCUUCCUGACCCUCGGCCCUGGGCAGGAGGGACAGUGAGGGGGCCCAUGUUCCCUGCAGUCUUCCCUGGGGGGGUGGGGGGGCGCGCGCCUGCCCACAAAGGCCGUGGAGGGCUGGACGGGCACUGGGUCCUCCCUCAGCCAGCUUUCCAUGGCAUCCUGCCCUGGGGGAGCUGGUCCUGGUGGCCUGCUCUGAGCAUGGGCACAGUCACAGCACGGGCCAGACUCUGUCCCCACCCACUAUCAGUGACCAUCUGUGGCUUUCACCCUCUGCCUGAGGACCUGGCUCCACUCCCAGGGGGCACGGGCUGUCAGUGCCACGCCUGUCUUUGGCAGCUGUGCUGACCCACAGGCAACCUCUACCCCGCCCCCUGCUCGGCGACUUCCUCAGCCCUGCUCCUCUGGCAGCGGCCUGUCUGGGCUCAGGGGGACCUGCUGUGACAGCUGUGGUGGGUCACGGAGGUGGCUGAAACCAGCCUGACCUCAAGUGGCACAGUGUCCUCUUGUCAGGGAAUGCCCUCCCUGGAGAAGCCUGGGGCCUGAGGAGCAGCCUGCUGUACGUGACAGUCCCUGCCCUGUCGGGGACCUGUGUGCAGCUGGGAUGGGCCCGGGGCCCUGCAGUGGGAUGAGACCGUCCUGAGCCGUCCAUCUCCAAGUGCACGUGAUGGCCCGGGGCCAGCACCCAGCACCCUGCAUGCUCACUGACCCCGACUUGGCGGUUACCCCUCCUCGGCCCACUGGCUCCAUUGAGGUUCCCGGAAGCUGCCCCAGAGCACCCUGGCCCCGUGCCUGGAGUGGGUGAGGGUGCCUGUGCUGCGGGGGGGGGGGGGGGGGCGGGGCCAGACCAGUGUUGCCCUUGUUGACAUGCUGGUACUCCCUCACUGUCAGGAAGAGGGCGGUGGCCCAGCCCUGGGGGUCUACCACUCCUCCUUCCCCACCUGGGUCCCUCCAAGCCUGCUGGGGAGACGGGCAGCAGGGAGGGUCAGGGGCAGAAGGGUGGCUGGGGCAGGGGUGGAGGCUGGCCUUGUGGUGAGAGUGGCCAGCUCAACCCUCCCCCUGCUGCUGUGGGAGGCUUCCAACAGGCUGACCAGCCAUCUUCUCCCCUGACUUCAUAGUGAGGUGGGUGAGCGGGGGGAGGGCACGUGGCAGGGACCUCUCCUCCACUCCUGGCACCUAUUGGUGAGCAGGGCUUGGGCAUGGGGACUGGUGGCCUGGGCAGCUGCCUGGGCCUGAUGUGGCCUCUGGGGAGGGGACAGGGACUCCUGGUUAGCUCGGCUCAGCUCUGGGGCCAUCUCCAAGGGAGCCCCACCAGGCAGGCAUUUGGGAGAGUAAGGGAGGCAGGACUGUCUCCUCUCAGAGGGGCCUGCCCAGGGAGGGGCAGGAGGCUCUGGUGGCUCAGGGGAGGGAGGUGCGCUCCUUGCGUGCAGCAUCCUGGGUGCCCACUGGGCCGAGGGGAGGAGGGGUGCCUUGGGGAUCUCUAUCUGCCCACUGGUGCCGACCUCUCUGGGCCUGGGCCUAGCUCUGCCUGCUCCUGCCCCUUCUCCAGCUGGGUAGCUUGCAGAAGCCUCAGAGUCCACCCGCCUCUGUCCACUGCCGGCCUUUGAUGACAGUGGGAGGGAGAAGUGGUGGACCAGGGAGUUUUAUUCAGCUGUGUCCUGAGCCCCUGGGGUGGACUGCAGACUGGCCAUCCGGAGCCGAGGACAGCGGUCCAGCCCCAGGUGCAGUAACGCAAGGUCCCAGUACCACUUUCCAGUUCUGUUAAGUUUCUCCGAGGCCCAGGUAGUCCAGCCUCUUGGAGCCACAGGAUGUGUGUCCCUCGGGCUGUCCUCUUGGAGGCUGCCUGCUUGGUGCCAGGAUCUACCUGGCUCAGGAGGUACUGUCCAGAGCUCAACAGUGGCUGUUGUGCAGCGUGGUGGUCAAGGCAGGGACACCCGUGGGCCUGCCCAGUGCUGUCUGCUGCUCCCCCUGGCCCUGUCCAGGGGGCUGAUUUCAUGGGGGAGGUCAGGAGUGGGAUUUCUGAGCUCCGCCCUUUGUCCCAGCAGCAGGGCACUCCUCUCUGUACCCCCCACCCCCAGGGUGCAUCUCAGCUCCCCCCACGGCCACCCACAGUGCUGUGUCCAGCACCCCAACAGGACCUGUUGGGUCCAUGGAAGCAGAGCCAUGACCUGUUAACCUGCAAGCAGCUGUUGCCCCCGCUGUGUCCCCAGCACCCCUGGAGCCCUUGGCAGGGAAGCAGGGAGUGGAUGUUGACCUGCGUCCUGGGGAGUAGGAGUGCUGGAGCCCUCAGUCGCUGUGUGUGGGGGACCUCAGAGCUCUAGGGGCCUUCUGGGAGGGUGGUUCCCUUGGAGUUCUCAAGGACGGGGAGUAGGCCCAGAGCCCUGGAAAACGCUAGGUGGAGACCUUCAAGCCUGGGGUUCCCUUGGGGGCUCAGGGAGCCCUCAAAAACCUUUGGGUUGGGGUGCCCAGGGCACUAGGGAGCACUCAGGUGCCCUUGUGGGGCUCCGGAGCUCUGGGGGUUGGGUAUGAAGCAUGGGGAUGGGGGUACCCAGAGCCCUUGGGAUCGCUGGAGGGGUACAAGAGCAUUCAGGGUCCCACGAAGCCCUGAGUAGUGACGCCAGGCCUGCGGGGAUGUCCUAGGGGAGAUCCAGACACCUCAGGAGCUGUGGGGACUCCUGGGGAUGGGCGUGUCCUCAGAGAUUUGGGGCAGGGGGCUGAAAGCCCCUUGGCUGGGAGCCCCCAGCAAUCCUCCAUCUGGCACACGGUGAUGAAUGGAUGUGGUUGCCCUUGGGGAUGAAUGAAUGAAAAGGGGGUGACUACAUCACAAGAGUAUUGUCUGUUUUCUUAUGCAGACGUCACAGUGGCUGCCAACCACACUUAUCUAGCCUCCCCCUUUUUCCUGAAACAGGUGGAGGACCAGAGACUUAGGGAAACCCAUCUACCUAGAAGUCGUGGCAUCUCUCUUCCCUUCCUUGGGAUGCCCCGAGCCCACGCCCCUUCCUCUCAUGCUGUCCCUUUUCUCCACCCCAGCUACUCCAGGGCUUUGGCAUGUCAAACCUUGCCACUUCCCCAGGCCCCACCUGGGGUUCGCUAGGCUCUACCUGCCUCUCCAGUGCAACAGCAAUCCCCGAGCAGUGCUCGGGACGGGGGCGGGGCUGUCCCUCCUAACAUACUUGAUUUGGGAUCAGUUGCUGAAACAAGCUGUGUCACUGUGCCCCUCUGGGGUCCUGGUUCAGCCUACUUGUUCUGCCCCUCCCCCCAUACAUGCUCACUGACCUGAGUAUCAGUGACAAGGCAGCAUUCCCUGACCCUGCCCACCCCCCGUGGAGCAUGUCGGUCUCAGCCCUCGCACUAGGAUGGCGAGGGGCAGAGUCUGGAGGUCUGGGGAGUCCAUUGCCACAGGUGGCAGCAGCUUGCAGCAAACAAAGGAGGCUGUGGCUGUGGGAGUGGUGAGAAAAAUAAAAGCAAUUCACUUCUUUCAUUUCUUUGUACACUUUAAAUGCACAAAAAGCACGUUACUUUCAGGAAAAUGUACAACAUAUGUGUGGCGACACUAGGACGCAGCAAGGAGAAAUUACCAGGAUCUGUGUGUACGGAGGUUCCAGACCCAGCCCUCAACUGAGCUGACCGUGUGGCCACAGACAGCGGCGUCUCCAAGGCUCAGCAGCCCAUGCUGCUGCUGUGUGGGCACUGUGCCAGACGGGAAGCUGGGGCCUACGGAGUCCCACCACCUGUAGCAAGGAGCCAGUCAGAGGUGAGAUGGAUUGAUGCCAGAGUGCCACCUGUCCAGGAAUUCCAGGCCUUACCUGUGCUUGCCAUCUGCCUGAUCAGAGCAGAUGACGGCUCCUCGGUUUUCCCAACCUUUGCUGGCAGCAUACCAAGAGAAUGCACAGCCUCACAUCGCAUUCUACCCUGUCUCUCCUUAGCAUGUACUUUUAAACACAUAUGUAGAAUUUGAAGACUAUGAAAUACCCACGACAGAAAAACUGGAGGUAAUAUAGUCAGCUAAAGAACUGAAUUACCCAGAUGAUGGGGUAUUUCGGAGUCCUGGGAGCCUUCCCCAUGUCUUUAAACAAGCAGUUUUCCAGAAGGCCCACUGAGCACAGCUGCCCUUAGACAGUUUGGCAUCAGCUCUUCCUGGCUAAAACAUCCACAGGCAGCAUUGCGCAUGCAGCCUCACCUGCAUUUCCAACGGGGGCUUUCCACACCCUGUGGUUCUGCAGUAAUUUUCGUAAGUAGUUAUAAGAAGUCUGGGAGUGGACCCCACAAGCAAAGCACAAACGUAUCUGUGGGUAGAAUAUGAUCCAUACCCCAAGCCCAAAGCAGAAAGGGAGAACCAAUAAAGCCAGGUGGUAACCCUGGAGACCCAUGGUGGAGGCCCCAAUCAGAGGACCCCAACCCUUCUCCAAGCAGGAAGAGCCAACUCAUUAAAAAUAAAUGGUCUUUUUAUUGUGUGUCCAGGAAAACAAGAAUCAGGGUGGCCUUUGGUUAAUCCCCACAACAAGAUGACAAGAACAGGAGGCAUGCAAUGACAAUAACUAUGUUCUCCUCUCCAGAAGGGUCUUGCCCCUCCUGGGUGGUCCUAAGGAUCAGAGGCAAGCAGGGUCAGGAGACUCCAGAGGAAGGCCCACCCAGGCCCAUGAUGCUAUGGAGGGCCUGGGUCUGCUGCCUCCCUGGCAGGACAAGGCAGGGGGAGCAAGCACUACCCCAGGCCAGGCCCAGCACCCCUAAGCUAGAACACAGAAAAA
Long non-coding RNA from Phyllostomus discolor (pale spear-nosed bat), 9473 nucleotides. RefSeq lists it as uncharacterized. Lineage: Eukaryota; Metazoa; Chordata; Mammalia; Chiroptera; Phyllostomidae. The record is from RefSeq and is a predicted model, not a curated record. The transcript is spliced from 3 exons.